GACGAACGCUGGCGGCGUGCUUAACACAUGCAAGUCGAACGGAAAGGCCCUGCUUUUGUGGGGUGCUCGAGUGGCGAACGGGUGAGUAACACGUGAGUAACCUGCCCUUGACUUUGGGAUAACUUCAGGAAACUGGGGCUAAUACCGGAUAGGAGCUCCUGCUGCAUGGUGGGGGUUGGAAAGUUUCGGCGGUUGGGGAUGGACUCGCGGCUUAUGAGCUUGUUGGUGGGGUAGGGGCUUACCAAGGGUGUGACGGGUAGGCGGCCUGAGAGGGUGACCGGCGACAUUGGGACUGAGAGACGGACCAGACUCCUACGGGAGGCAGCGGUGGGGAGUAUUGCACAAUGGGCGGACGCCUGAUGCAGCAACGCCGCGUGCGGGAUGACGGCCUUCGGGUUGUGAACCGCUUUCGCCUGUGACGAAGCGUGAGUGACGGUAAUGGGUAAAGAAGCACCGGCUAACUACGUG
This 468-nucleotide ribosomal RNA is filed under the name uncultured bacterium. RNAcentral describes it as "partial 16S ribosomal RNA". It matches the Rfam family "Bacterial small subunit ribosomal RNA", at positions 28 to 507 of the family's 1533-position model. The record is from RNAcentral.